This 502-nucleotide ribosomal RNA is filed under the name uncultured bacterium. RNAcentral describes it as "bacterial SSU rRNA". It matches the Rfam family "Bacterial small subunit ribosomal RNA", at positions 29 to 521 of the family's 1533-position model. The record is from RNAcentral.
AUUGAACGCUGGCGGCGUGCCUAACACAUGCAAGUCGAGCGGCAGCGCGGGAGCAAUCCUGGCGGCGAGCGGCGGACGGGUGAGUAACGCUUGGGAAUCUGCCUGUUAGUGGGGGACAACCCGGGGAAACGUCGGGCUAAUACCGCAUACGCACUACGGUGGAAAGCCGGGGACCGCAAGGCCUGGCGCUAACAGAUGAGCCCAAGUCGGAUUAGCUAGUUGGUAGGGUAACGGCCUACCAAGGCGACGAUCCGUAACUGGUCUGAGAGGACGACCAGUCACACCGGAACUGAGACACGGUCCGGACUCCUACGGGAGGCAGCAGUGGGGAAUAUUGGACAAUGGGGGAAACCCUGAUCCAGCGACGCCGCGUGGGUGAAGAAGGCCUGCGGGUUGUAAAGCCCUUUUCAGUGGGGGAAGAAAAGCCUCGACCUAACACGUCGGGGUCUUGACGUAACCCCAUAGAAGAAGCACCGGCUAACUCUGUGACAGCCGCCGCGGU